GACGAACGCUGGCGGCGUGCUUAACACAUGCAAGUCGAACGGAAAGGCCCUGCUUUUGUGGGGUGCUCGAGUGGCGAACGGGUGAGUAACACGUGAGUAACCUGCCCCUGACUUUGGGAUAACUUCAGGAAACUGGGGCUAAUACCGGAUAGGAGCUCCUGCUGCAUGGUGGGGGUUGGAAAGUUUCGGCGGUUGGGGAUGGACUCGCGGCUUAUCGGCUUGUUGGGGGGGUAGUGGCUUACCAAGGCUUCGACGGGUAGCCGGCCUGAGAGGGUGAACAGCCACAUUGGGACUGCGAUACGGCCCAGACUCCUACGUGAGGCAGCAGUGGAGAAUAUUGCACAAUAAGCGGAAGCCUGAUACAGCAACGCCGCGUGCGGGAUGACGGCCUUCGGGUUGUAAACCGCUUUCGCCUGAAACGAAGCGUGAGUGACGGUAAUGAGUAAAGAAGCACCGGCUAACUACGUG
Molecule: ribosomal RNA, 468 nt
Filed under: uncultured bacterium
Lineage: Bacteria
Description: partial 16S ribosomal RNA
Rfam family: Bacterial small subunit ribosomal RNA
Source: RNAcentral